UAAUAGCUCCAUAGUACUCCAUUG
This 24-nucleotide unclassified non-coding RNA is filed under the name Mus musculus (house mouse). Its description in RNAcentral is "oocyte_clustered_small_RNA7308". The record is from RNAcentral. Lineage: Eukaryota; Metazoa; Chordata; Mammalia; Rodentia; Muridae.